Molecule: ribosomal RNA, 253 nt
Filed under: uncultured bacterium
Lineage: Bacteria
Description: partial 16S ribosomal RNA
Rfam family: Bacterial small subunit ribosomal RNA
Source: RNAcentral
UACGAAGGGGGCUAGCGUUGCUCGGAAUUACUGGGCGUAAAGGGCGCGUAGGCGGCGCUGCAAGUCAGGCGUGAAAUUCCUGGGCUUAACCUGGGGGCUGCGCUUGAUACUGAUUGGCUUGAAUGCGGGAGAGGAUAGUGGAAUUCCCAGUGUAGAGGUGAAAUUCGUAGAUAUUGGGAAGAACACCGGUGGCGAAGGCGGCUAUCUGGCCCGUAAUUGACGCUGAGGCGCGAAAGCGUGGGGAGCAAACAGG